RNAcentral lists this ribosomal RNA (761 nucleotides) under Anatonchus sp. 1 HMM2018. RNAcentral's name for it is "eukaryotic LSU rRNA". It matches the Rfam family "Eukaryotic large subunit ribosomal RNA", at positions 359 to 956 of the family's 3401-position model. The record is from RNAcentral. Lineage: Eukaryota; Metazoa; Nematoda; Enoplea; Mononchida; Anatonchidae.
GAAAGUUGAAAAGAACUCUGAAGAGAGAGUUCAAGAGGGCGUGAAACCGUUCAGAAGUAAACGGAUAAAGCUGCGAGGUAUCCGCGGAAAUCAGCCAGAGGAGUGGCUAUAACUCGGCGUACCGAUCGCAAGACGGGAAACCGGGCGGGUAGCUACCUUCUGGUGCACUUUUCGCGGAGAAGCGUUGCGACCAGGGUGAACUCUGGCAGAUCGGUUGGAUUGCCGGCGAAGCCGCGUGUUUCGUGUCCCGUCCAGCCAGGAUGUCAGUAGGGUACCCCGGUUUCCUAUAGCGGCUGCUUUUGGCUCGUGAAAUCUCAGUGUGUGGGCGGUUGAAACUCCGAGUCUUGCUUGCAGGGCUCGGUAACCCCCGUCUGCCCGCUGGGGUGUAGCGAAUCGCCGCGAGGGCUCGGCGACGUCCGUGGCAGUGACUUAUCCGACCCGUCUUGAAACACGGACCAAGGAGUCUAACAUGUACGCGAGUUAUUGGGUUUGAAACCCAAAAGCGAAAUAAAAGUAAAUGCCUCGUGCUGAGAUACGAUCCUUGACUUCGGUCGGGGCGCAGUAUCGUCCCAUCUAAGCGGUUCGUCCGCUGGGUGGAGACAGAGCGUAAAUGUUGGGACCCGAAAGAUGGUGAACUAUGCCUGAGCAGAACGAAGCCAGAGGAAACUCUGGUGGAGGUUCGUAGCGGUUCUGACGUGCAAAUCGAUCGUCAGACUUGGGUAUAGGGGCGAAAGACUAAUCGAACCAUCUAGUAGCUGGUU